UCAGGCCUAACACAUGCAAGUCGAGCGGAUGGGGGUAGCUUGCUACCUGAUUUAGCGGCGGACGGGUGAGUAAUGCUUAGGAAUCUACCUAUUAGUGGGGGACAACAUUUCGAAAGGGAUGCUAAUACCGCAUGAGUCCUACGGGAGAAAGCAGGGGAUCAUUUUGACCUUGCGCUAAUAGAUGAGCCUAAGUCGGAUUAGCUAGUUGGUGGGGUAAAGGCCUACCAAGGCGACGAUCUGUAGCGGGUCUGAGAGGAUGAUCCGCCACACUGGGACUGAGACACGGCCCAGACUCCUACGGGA
Molecule: ribosomal RNA, 303 nt
Filed under: uncultured bacterium
Lineage: Bacteria
Description: bacterial SSU rRNA
Rfam family: Bacterial small subunit ribosomal RNA
Source: RNAcentral